AUCUUUUUGUAGUUCAUAAGCAUGAUGAUUGCAUAGUCACACUCUUGUGUGAGAUAUGCCUCCCUCAACCUUGUUAUAACAUUGGGCCAUUACCUGACUGAUG
This is a small nucleolar RNA of Phyllostomus discolor (pale spear-nosed bat), 103 nucleotides long. RefSeq annotates it as small nucleolar RNA U13. The record is from RefSeq and is a predicted model, not a curated record. Lineage: Eukaryota; Metazoa; Chordata; Mammalia; Chiroptera; Phyllostomidae. The transcript has a single exon.